GGGGGGGGGGCGCUCAGGUGGUCGAGUGUUCUUGAGGAAAACCUGCCGCCGUAAAGGAGACGCUGAGGGAGCCACAGGUGAGACCUUGUUGGGACGGAGCUCAGCGAACCAGAGACUGUCGUCUUCACGAGAAGGACGUCUGUAUUCAUGUCGCGUAAUGAAGCUUCUUCUUUGUGUCACGCUGACUCUGAGUUGAGAUGAAUGUGCAGCUCCUCACGGUGUGUGUGAGACAAUGCAGAGGAAACACUCGUUUACACACAAUUAAACGCCGUCAGACAAUAAAGUAAAAGGUACAAAAAUAAAGCUUAUCAAGAAAAUAUUUAAUUAAAGACCGAACAAACGGAAUAAUGUUUCAUUUUAAGCGCGUGAGAAACCUGGAAAGUCAAAUUUGACUUGAUGUGAUGUGAGUGAGCUGAAGCAGAAAACAGACACACGCCGUUGUUGUUGUUGUUGUUUAUUAACGGGACAUUAUCUCGCUCUGUUUACAGCUCUGACGAGGACUUUGAUUACCUGCCGCUGAUUACAACCUUCUCAGGGCACUCAUGACGUCACCAGACGAGCGCGCCCUGGAGGAGCUGCUGUGCGGCAGUGACCUUGGUGACGAG
Molecule: long non-coding RNA, 605 nt
Organism: Gasterosteus aculeatus aculeatus (three-spined stickleback)
Lineage: Eukaryota; Metazoa; Chordata; Actinopteri; Perciformes; Gasterosteidae
Source: Ensembl